CUCGUAGCUUGCUAUGAGAACAAUUAGUGGCAGACGGGUGAGUAAUGCAUAGGAACCUACCUAGUAGUAUAGGAUAGCCACUAGAAAUGGUGGGUAAUACUGUAUAAUCCCUGCGGGGGAAAGAUUUAUCGCUACAUGAUGAGCCUAUGUUAGAUUAGCUAGUUGGUGGGGUAAUGGCCUACCAAGGCAGUGAUCUAUAGCUGGUCUGAGAGGAUGAUCAGCCACACUGGAACUGAGACACGGUCCAGACUCCUACGGGAGGCAGCAGUGGGGAAUAUUGGACAAUGGGCGCAAGCCUGAUCCAGCUAUGCCGCGUGAGUGAGGAAGGCCUUAGGGUUGUAAAACUCUUUCAGUGGGGAAGAUAAUGACGGUACCCACAGAAGAAGUCCCGGCAAACUCCGUGCCAGCAGCCGCGGUAAUACGGAGGGGGCAAGCGUUGUUCGGAAUUAUUGGGCGUAAAGGGCAUGUAGGUGGUUUGGUAAGUUAAAGGUGAAAUGCCAGGGCUUAACCCUGGAGCUGCUUUUAAUACUGCCAGACUGGAGUCCGGGAGA
Molecule: ribosomal RNA, 551 nt
Filed under: uncultured Anaplasma sp.
Lineage: Bacteria; Pseudomonadati; Pseudomonadota; Alphaproteobacteria; Rickettsiales; Anaplasmataceae
Description: bacterial SSU rRNA
Rfam family: Bacterial small subunit ribosomal RNA
Source: RNAcentral